AUUGAACGCUGGCGGCAUGCCUUACACAUGCAAGUCGAACGGCAGCGCGGACUUCGGUCUGGCGGCGAAUGGCGAACGGGUGAGUAAUACAUCGGAACGUACCCUGUUGUGGGGGAUAACUAGUCGAAAGAUUAGCUAAUACCGCAUACGACCUGAGGGUGAAAGUGGGGGACCGGAAACGGCCUCAUGCAGCAGGAGCGGCCGAUGUCUGAUUAGCUAGUUGGUGGGGUAAAGGCCCACCAAGGCGACGAUCAGUAGCUGGUCUGAGAGGACGAUCAGCCACACUGGGACUGAGACACGGCCCAGACUCCUACGGGAGGCAGCAGUGGGGAAUUUUGGACAAUGGGGGCAACCCUGAUCCAGCAAUGCCGCGUGUGUGAAGAAGGCCUUCGGGUUGUAAAGCACUUUUGUCCGGAAAGAAAUCGCGCUGGUUAAUACCUGGCGUGGAUGACGGUACCGGAAGAAUAAGCACCGGCUAACUACGUG
This 486-nucleotide ribosomal RNA is filed under the name uncultured bacterium. RNAcentral's name for it is "partial 16S ribosomal RNA". It matches the Rfam family "Bacterial small subunit ribosomal RNA", at positions 30 to 507 of the family's 1533-position model. The record is from RNAcentral.